Molecule: ribosomal RNA, 214 nt
Filed under: uncultured bacterium
Lineage: Bacteria
Description: partial 16S ribosomal RNA
Rfam family: Bacterial small subunit ribosomal RNA
Source: RNAcentral
UCUCAGUUCGGAUCGCAGGCUGCAACCCGCCUGCGUGAAGUCGGAAUCGCUAGUAAUCGCGGAUCAGCAUGCCGCGGUGAAUACGUUCCCGGGCCUUGUACACACCGCCCGUCACACCAUGAGAGUCGGGAACACCCGAAGUCCGUAGCCUAACCGCAAGGGGGCGCGGCCGAAGGUGGGUUCGAUAAUUGGGGUGAAGUCGUAACAAGGUAUC